CUACGAGAGGUGCAAGCGUUGUUCGGAUUUACUGGGCGUAAAGAGAGUGUAGGUGGUUUAUUAAGUCGGAUGUGAAAUCCCGGGGCUCAACCUCGGAACUGCAUUCGAUACUGAUAGGCUAGAGUUUGGGAGGGGUAAGCGGAAUUCCGUGUGUAGCAGUGAAAUGCGUAGAUAUACGGAGGAACACCUGAGGCGAAGGCGGCUUACUGGACCAAUACUGACACUGAGACUCGAAAGCGUGGGUAGCAAACAGGAUUAGAUACCCCAGUAGUCC
This 274-nucleotide ribosomal RNA is filed under the name uncultured bacterium. RNAcentral's name for it is "partial 16S ribosomal RNA". It matches the Rfam family "Bacterial small subunit ribosomal RNA", at positions 523 to 796 of the family's 1533-position model. The record is from RNAcentral.